RNAcentral lists this ribosomal RNA (497 nucleotides) under uncultured bacterium. RNAcentral's name for it is "partial 16S ribosomal RNA". It matches the Rfam family "Bacterial small subunit ribosomal RNA", at positions 28 to 507 of the family's 1533-position model. The record is from RNAcentral.
GAUGAACGCUGGCGGCGUGCCUAAUACAUGCAAGUCGAGCGAACGGACGAGAAGCUUGCUUCUCUGAUGUUAGCGGCGGACGGGUGAGUAACACGUGGAUAACCUACCUAUAAGACUGGGAUAACUUCGGGAAACCGGAGCUAAUACCGGAUAAUAUUUUGAACCGCAUGGUUAAAAAGUGAAAGACGGUCUUACUGUCACUUAUAGAUGGAUCCGCGCUGCAUUAGCUAGUUGGUAAGGUAACGGCUUACAAAGGCAACGAUGCAUAGCCGACCUGAGAGGGUGAUCGGCCACACUGGAACUGAGACACGGUCCAGACUCCUAAGGGAGGCAGCAGUAGGGAAUCUUCCGCAAUGGGCGAAAGCCUGACGGAGCAACGCCGCGUGAGUGAUGAAGGUCUUCGGAUCGUAAAACUCUGUUAUUAGGGAAGAACAUAUGUGUAAGUAACUGUGCACAUCUUGACGGUACCUAAUCAGAAAGCCACGGCUAACUACGUG